UGCUGUUAAUUUACGUCAAAAUUUUAACAGUAUAAACCUGUUAUCUUAAAAAGCAGUGCUUACUUGUUUAUUUACGUUCUGUGAAAUGACGUAGAUAAAAUUUAACGUUAUUUUACCGUAUUUAUUGCACGAAGGAAAGAAAACAGUACUUAACAGUAUUUUGGGAACAGAAAGCUGCAGCAAGCACAUGUGGAUUUUCAUCCGUCUUUAUAUUGUGAUUUAACCGUGCUAAAACCGUCAACGUGCCAACGGCAUCAUAGAUUGGAGCUGGAUUGAUUCAGAUAUUCCCCGAUUACAAGUGCAAUGAGCAUUGUGAAUGAAGAUCUGAGAGGUAUCAUCCUCAGAACGUUGCCAACAAUUUCCAAAGACACUCUACAGGCAUUGAUAGACAAGCUAUUAAACUCUGGUCUGGAAUCUACACAAGACCUGAAAUAUGUGAAUCAAGAAGAUAUUGCUGACCUACUGCCGGCCAUUCAAUUA
Molecule: long non-coding RNA, 480 nt
Organism: Carassius auratus (goldfish)
Lineage: Eukaryota; Metazoa; Chordata; Actinopteri; Cypriniformes; Cyprinidae
Exons: 3
Source: RefSeq, a predicted model, not a curated record